This 253-nucleotide ribosomal RNA is filed under the name uncultured bacterium. Its description in RNAcentral is "partial 16S ribosomal RNA". It matches the Rfam family "Bacterial small subunit ribosomal RNA", at positions 524 to 776 of the family's 1533-position model. The record is from RNAcentral.
UACGUAGGGGGCAAGCGUUGUCCGGAUUUACUGGGCGUAAAGAGCGUGUAGGCGGCCACGCAGGUCCGUUGUGAAAACUGGAGGCUCAACCUCCAGCUGUCGACGGAAACCGUAUGGCUAGAGUCCGGAAGAGGAGAGUGGAAUUCCUGGUGUAGCGGUGAAAUGCGCAGAUAUCAGGAAGAACACCAACGGCGAAGGCAGCUCGCUGGGACGGUACUGACGCUGAGACGCGAAAGCGUGGGGAGCGAACAGG